AGAUUGAACGCUGGCGGCAGGCCUAACACAUGCAAGUCGAGCGGCAGCACGGGUACUUGUACCUGGUGGCGAGCGGCGGACGGGUGAGUAAUGCCUAGGAAUCUGCCUGAUAGUGGGGGAUAACGCUCGGAAACGGACGCUAAUACCGCAUACGGUCCUACGGGAGAAAGCAGGGGACCUUCGGGCCUUGCGCUAUCAGAUGAGCCUAGGUCGGAUUAGCUAGUUGGUGGGGUAACUGGCUCACCAAGGCGACGAUCCGUAACUGGUCUGAGAGGAUGAUCAGUCACACUGGAACUGGAGACGACGGUCCAGACUCCUACGGGAGGCAGCGAGUGGGAAUAUUGGGACAAUGGGCAAAGCCUAGGACUCGAGCCAUGCCGCGUGUAGUAGAAGAAGGUCUUCGGAAUUGUAAA
RNAcentral lists this ribosomal RNA (413 nucleotides) under uncultured soil bacterium. RNAcentral's name for it is "bacterial SSU rRNA". It matches the Rfam family "Bacterial small subunit ribosomal RNA", at positions 26 to 429 of the family's 1533-position model. The record is from RNAcentral.